AUUGAACGCUGGCGGCAGGCCUCACACAUGCAAGUCGAGCGAGCGGCGGACGGGUGAGUAAUGUAUGGGAAACUGCCUGAUGGAGGGGGAUAACUACUGGAAACGGUAGCUAAUACCGCAUACCCUCAGAUGUGCACAGCUGGGCUGAGCUAGUAGGUGGGGUAACGGCUCACCUAGGCGACGAUCCCGAGCUGUUCUGAGAGGAUGACCAGUCACACUGUAACUGAGACACGGUACAGACUCCUACGGGAGGAAGCAGUGGGGAAUAUUGCACAAUUGGCGCAAUCCUGAUGCAGCCAUGCCGCGUGUGUGAAGAAGGCCUUCGGGUUGUAAAGCACUUUCAGCGGGGAGGCGUUACCCGCAGAAGAAGCACCGGCUAACUCCGUGCCAGCAGCCGCGGUAAUUC
This 406-nucleotide ribosomal RNA is filed under the name uncultured bacterium. RNAcentral's name for it is "partial 16S ribosomal RNA". It matches the Rfam family "Bacterial small subunit ribosomal RNA", at positions 30 to 526 of the family's 1533-position model. The record is from RNAcentral.